AAGGAGCAAGCGGGUACCAGCGUGAUUGAUAUUUUGGCUGCAGGCUUGCUAGCCAUCAGGCACAGUGUGCCAGACCAGGCGUCACCUGAGGCUGAGUGCUGCAGUGAGCCCAGGAGCUGCUUGCCGGGUGCCCAGCACACAGCCCGCCUGCAGCAUCUCUCCUUGAGAAGAGUGACCAAGAAAGGCCAUCACAGGGCAGUGCAGGAGGUUUCUGGCUGUGGGAUUCACGUGAUUGCGACCACAGCUGGUGAAGGAUGAACCAAGUCUAAGAAGGAGGCACUUCGUGAGUGGCUAUGUUCUUCUGAACUCACGGGGAAUCUGAAAUAACUUCUUGGCUGCCCUCCUUCAACCUGUUCGCUUGUGGCAGUUGGCAGAAAAAGAUCUGGAGGUAGUCAUCAACCAUAAACUGAGUAUAAGCCAACACAACCAUGCUUCUAUGAAGCAGGCAGAUGUUUAAUGAAGCUCUGUUGGCUCAAGUGCACCCUGCAAGAACAGUGACAUCAAGCUCUGCUCUUUUCAGAGCUGCAGAGGGCUCUGCAUGAACGCCUUGUCCAGACACUGGCACCACGUGCAGAAAACAUGGACCUUCUGGAGUGAGAUCAGGAAAGAGCAGCGACAGCGUUAUUGUUGCAAGAUAUGUGAUUUCAAUAGUUUGAGAAGUGGGAAAAUCCUUCCUCAAAUGGUAGAAUGAAAGUGAGUUUUUCUGUCACUGUAAGAGAACAACAACAACAACAAAAAUAAAUCAGAGGAUGGCCAUGAUUUUGUGUCUCAUCUCAUUAUGUAAGUAGAGAGAUAACCUCGACAGAGCCAUAGGCAAUGACAGAGCACCACUGCCUUCCACCACUAGCUGGACUUGCCUAGCUUUCCUAUGCACUCUUAUAAACAUGCUGUAUUGGAAGAGGAUUUUGUGUACCAGGCCUUUGGAACCUUUAAGCUCUUCUUCUCCCA
Molecule: long non-coding RNA, 948 nt
Organism: Gallus gallus (chicken)
Lineage: Eukaryota; Metazoa; Chordata; Aves; Galliformes; Phasianidae
Source: Ensembl